UGAUCAAGAACAUAGCGAAUGGCGAUACUUGGUCCGACAAGGAACAGACUGCUGAGAACAGUCAGAUGUCCUACCCCAAUCAGCAUUUCGGU
Molecule: ribosomal RNA, 92 nt
Filed under: Rhodomonas abbreviata
Lineage: Eukaryota; Cryptophyceae; Pyrenomonadales; Pyrenomonadaceae
Description: partial 5.8S ribosomal RNA
Source: RNAcentral